CAUGAUACAGGACCCUUCUCUGAAGAGGCCUCUGGAUCUUGGUAAAGAGGAAGCUGGCCUAUACAAACUGUCUUGGGUGCCAUUUUCCCCCUCUUCCUCUCGUGGUUCUUCUUUUACUUCUGUGUGUGUUUUGUCUGAUUUUUGUAAUGAUGACAAUGUGUCUGACAGCAAAAUUGUUACCUUGCCUCCAAUUGUAAAUAAUUCCAUUUGUAAUAAUGAUGUUACCACUGAUAUGA
RNAcentral lists this long non-coding RNA (236 nucleotides) under Nicotiana benthamiana. Its description in RNAcentral is "long non-coding RNA (NBEN_LNC023259)". Lineage: Eukaryota; Viridiplantae; Streptophyta; Magnoliopsida; Solanales; Solanaceae. The record is from RNAcentral.